RNAcentral lists this ribosomal RNA (253 nucleotides) under uncultured bacterium. RNAcentral's name for it is "partial 16S ribosomal RNA". It matches the Rfam family "Bacterial small subunit ribosomal RNA", at positions 524 to 776 of the family's 1533-position model. The record is from RNAcentral.
UACAGAGGAUGCAAGCGUUAAUCGGAAUUACUGGGCGUAAAGCGCGCGUAGGUGGUUUGUUAAGUUGGAUGUGAAAGCCCCGGGCUCAACCUGGGAACUGCAUCCAAAACUGGCAAGCUAGAGUACGGUAGAGGGUGGUGGAAUUUCCUGUGUAGCGGUGAAAUGCGUAGAUAUAGGAAGGAACACCAGUGGCGAAGGCGACCACCUGGACUGAUACUGACACUGAGGUGCGAAAGCGUGGAGAGCAAACAGG